GAUGAAGAACGUAGCGAAAUGCGAUAAGUAAUGCGAAUUGCAGAAUUUCCGUGAGUCAUCGAAUCUUUGAACGCACAUUGCGCCCGCCAGUAUUCUGGCGGGCAUGCCUGUUCGAGCGUCAUUUCAACCAUCAAGCCCCAGGCUUGUGUUGGGGACCUGCGGCUGCCGCAGGCCCUGAAAACCAGUGGCGGGCUCGCUGUCACACCGGGCGUAGUAGAUUUUAUCUCGCUCUGGGCGUGCUGCGGGUUCCGGCCGUUAAAAAACCCUUUUAACCCAAGGUUGACCUCGGAUCAGGUAGGAAUACCCGCUGAACUUAAGCAUAUCAAUAAGCGGAGGA
Molecule: unclassified non-coding RNA, 337 nt
Filed under: soil metagenome
Description: partial contains 5.8S ribosomal RNA, internal transcribed spacer 2, and large subunit ribosomal RNA
Rfam family: 5.8S ribosomal RNA (bases 1-121)
Source: RNAcentral